GGUUAAGCGACUAAGCGUACACGGUGGAUGCCCUGGCAGUCAGAGGCGAUGAAGGACGUGCUAAUCUGCGAUAAGCGUCGGUAAGGUGAUAUGAACCGUUAUAACCGGCGAUUUCCGAAUGGGGAAACCCAGUGUGUUUCGACACACUAUCAUUAACUGAAUCCAUAGGUUAAUGAGGCGAACCGGGGGAACUGAAACAUCUAAGUACCCCGAGGAAAAGAAAUCAACCGAGAUUCCCCCAGUAGCGGCGAGCGAACGGGGAGGAGCCCAGAGCCUGAAUCAGUGUGUGUGUUAGUGGAAGCGUCUGGAAAGGCGCGCGAUACAGGGUGACAGCCCCGUACACAAAAAUGCACAUGCUGUGAGCUCGAUGAGUAGGGCGGGACACGUGGUAUCCUGUCUGAAUAUGGGGGGACCAUCCUCCAAGGCUAAAUACUCCUGACUGACCGAUAGUGAACCAGUACCGUGAGGGAAAGGCGAAAAGAACCCCGGCGAGGGGAGUGAAAAAGAACCUGAAACCGUGUACGUACAAGCAGUGGGAGCACAGAGCAAUCUGUGUGACUGCGUACCUUUUGUAUAAUGGGUCAGCGACUUAUAUUCUGUAGCAAGGUUAACCGAAUAGGGGAGCCGAAGGGAAACCGAGUCUUAACUGGGCGUUAAGUUGCAGGGUAUAGACCCGAAACCCGGUGAUCUAGCCAUGGGCAGGUUGAAGGUUGGGUAACACUAACUGGAGGACCGAACCGACUAAUGUUGAAAAAUUAGCGGAUGACUUGUGGCUGGGGGUGAAAGGCCAAUCAAACCGGGAGAUAGCUGGUUCUCCCCGAAAGCUAUUUAGGUAGCGCCUCGUGAAUUCAUCUCCGGGGGUAGAGCACUGUUUCGGCAAGGGGGUCAUCCCGACUUACCAACCCGAUGCAAACUGCGAAUACCGGAGAAUGUUAUCACGGGAGACACACGGCGGGUGCUAACGUCCGUCGUGAAGAGGGAAACAACCCAGACCGCCAGCUAAGGUCCCAAAGUCAUGGUUAAGUGGGAAACGAUGUGGGAAGGCCCAGACAGCCAGGAUGUUGGCUUAGAAGCAGCCAUCAUUUAAAGAAAGCGUAAUAGCUCACUGGUCGAGUCGGCCUGCGCGGAAGAUGUAACGGGGCUAAACCAUGCACCGAAGCUGCGGCAGCGACACUGUGUGUUGUUGGGUAGGGGAGCGUUCUGUAAGCCUGUGAAGGUGUGCUGUGAGGCAUGCUGGAGGUAUCAGAAGUGCGAAUGCUGACAUAAGUAACGAUAAAGCGGGUGAAAAGCCCGCUCGCCGGAAGACCAAGGGUUCCUGUCCAACGUUAAUCGGGGCAGGGUGAGUCGACCCCUAAGGCGAGGCCGAAAGGCGUAGUCGAUGGGAAACAGGUUAAUAUUCCUGUACUUGGUGUUACUGCGAAGGGGGGACGGAGAAGGCUAUGUUGGCCGGGCGACGGUUGUCCCGGUUUAAGCGUGUAGGCUGGUUUUCCAGGCAAAUCCGGAAAAUCAAGGCUGAGGCGUGAUGACGAGGCACUACGGUGCUGAAGCAACAAAUGCCCUGCUUCCAGGAAAAGCCUCUAAGCAUCAGGUAACAUCAAAUCGUACCCCAAACCGACACAGGUGGUCAGGUAGAGAAUACCAAGGCGCUUGAGAGAACUCGGGUGAAGGAACUAGGCAAAAUGGUGCCGUAACUUCGGGAGAAGGCACGCUGAUAUGUAGGUGAAGUCCCUCGCGGAUGGAGCUGAAAUCAGUCGAAGAUACCAGCUGGCUGCAACUGUUUAUUAAAAACACAGCACUGUGCAAACACGAAAGUGGACGUAUACGGUGUGACGCCUGCCCGGUGCCGGAAGGUUAAUUGAUGGGGUCAGCGCAAGCGAAGCUCUUGAUCGAAGCCCCGGUAAACGGCGGCCGUAACUAUAACGGUCCUAAGGUAGCGAAAUUCCUUGUCGGGUAAGUUCCGACCUGCACGAAUGGCGUAAUGAUGGCCAGGCUGUCUCCACCCGAGACUCAGUGAAAUUGAACUCGCUGUGAAGAUGCAGUGUACCCGCGGCAAGACGGAAAGACCCCGUGAACCUUUACUAUAGCUUGACACUGAACAUUGAGCCUUGAUGUGUAGGAUAGGUGGGAGGCUUUGAAGUGUGGACGCCAGUCUGCAUGGAGCCGACCUUGAAAUACCACCCUUUAAUGUUUGAUGUUCUAACGUGGACCCGUGAUCCGGGUUGCGGACAGUGUCUGGUGGGUAGUUUGACUGGGGCGGUCUCCUCCUAAAGAGUAACGGAGGAGCACGAAGGUUGGCUAAUCCUGGUCGGACAUCAGGAGGUUAGUGCAAUGGCAUAAGCCAGCUUGACUGCGAGCGUGACGGCGCGAGCAGGUGCGAAAGCAGGUCAUAGUGAUCCGGUGGUUCUGAAUGGAAGGGCCAUCGCUCAACGGAUAAAAGGUACUCCGGGGAUAACAGGCUGAUACCGCCCAAGAGUUCAUAUCGACGGCGGUGUUUGGCACCUCGAUGUCGGCUCAUCACAUCCUGGGGCUGAAGUAGGUCCCAAGGGUAUGGCUGUUCGCCAUUUAAAGUGGUACGCGAGCUGGGUUUAGAACGUCGUGAGACAGUUCGGUCCCUAUCUGCCGUGGGCGCUGGAGAACUGAGGGGGGCUGCUCCUAGUACGAGAGGACCGGAGUGGACGCAUCACUGGUGUUCGGGUUGUCAUGCCAAUGGCACUGCCCGGUAGCUAAAUGCGGAAGAGAUAAGUGCUGAAAGCAUCUAAGCACGAAACUUGCCCCGAGAUGAGUUCUCCCUGACCCUUUAAGGGUCCUGAAGGAACGUUGAAGACGACGACGUUGAUAGGCCGGGUGUGUAAGCGCAGCGAUGCGUUGAGCUAACCGGUACUAAUGAACCGUGAGGCUUAACCUU
This 2905-nucleotide ribosomal RNA is filed under the name Escherichia coli. RNAcentral describes it as "23S ribosomal RNA". It matches the Rfam family "Bacterial large subunit ribosomal RNA". The record is from RNAcentral. Lineage: Bacteria; Pseudomonadati; Pseudomonadota; Gammaproteobacteria; Enterobacterales; Enterobacteriaceae. RNAcentral also lists the same sequence under 13 other names.